UAGGGAAUCUUCCGCAAUGGACGCAAGUCUGACGGAGCAACGCCGCGUGAGUGAAGAAGGUUUUCGGAUCGUAAAACUCUGUUGUUAGAGAAGAACAAGUGCUAGAGUAACUGUUAGCGCCUUGACGGUAUCUAACCAGAAAGCCACGGCUAACUACGUGCCAGCAGCCGCGGUAAUACGUAGGUGGCAAGCGUUGUCCGGAUUUAUUGGGCGUAAAGCGAGCGCAGGCGGUUCCUUAAGUCUGAUGUGAAAGCCCAGCCCCCGGCUCAACCGGGGAGGGUCAUUGGAAACUGGGGAACUUGAGUGCAGAAGAGGAGAGUGGAAUUCCAUGUGUAGCGGUGAAAUGCGUAGAUAUAUGGAGGAACACCAGUGGCGAAGGCGACUCUCUGGUCUGUAACUGACGCUGAGGCUCGAAAGCGUGGGUAGCAAACAGGAUUAGAUACCCUGGUAGUCCACGCCGUAAACGAUGAGUGCUAAGUGUUGGAGGGUUUCCGCCCUUCAGUGCUGCAGUUAACGCAUUAAGCACUCCGCCCUGGGGAGUACGACCAGUGUAA
RNAcentral lists this ribosomal RNA (554 nucleotides) under uncultured bacterium. RNAcentral's name for it is "bacterial SSU rRNA". It matches the Rfam family "Bacterial small subunit ribosomal RNA", at positions 355 to 897 of the family's 1533-position model. The record is from RNAcentral.